Molecule: long non-coding RNA, 913 nt
Organism: Beta vulgaris subsp. vulgaris (sugar beet)
Lineage: Eukaryota; Viridiplantae; Streptophyta; Magnoliopsida; Caryophyllales; Amaranthaceae
Exons: 2
Source: RefSeq, a predicted model, not a curated record
UCUCACCUGACUUUCAUAUUUAGAGGAAAAAGUGGUGUUUGGAGCUAAAUUUAUUUUGUGUUAUUAAUGUCAAUCAGGCAUAUGAAUUUUGUCUAUGUACUCAUAACCUGUAAUUUUAUAUGUUCCUCCAGUCAUUGAUGAUUUGGUACGUACACAAAGGCUUUGGGAUAUGAAAAACAAAGAGGUGAAAAUUUUCUAUAUGUGGAAUUCGCAAGGACUUCACAAUCGACGCAACUUUCAAGGGGAAUGCGUCUUGUUUCUUGAAUCAUAGUUGUGAUCCAAACUGCAAAUUGGAGAAAUGCAUAAAGCUCCUUACAUAGAGGAACUUGAAUAACAUAUGCAACAACUCCACAAAAAACGUGCUUUGGUCGUCUUUGAAAGGUGAGCUGCUGAUGAUGACGAGGAGAUGGCAGAAGUACAAGCAGCUGUAUGAAGCUAUGUCAGUUUUGGGAAGAGGUGGUGGCAAUGCUCCUAUAAUUACCACCGCCACUAGUGCAGCUCAGGCAGCAGCUGCUACCAUCAAGCAACAAAAAGUUGUCCUGUGAAGCUUCAUUAAUUUGGUAGAGAUAAAAAUCUUCAGAAACUUAUGGAUAUGGCUAGGAGGUCUGAUGCUAGACAACGUAAAAGAUCUCCUUUGGAUGCUAAGAGAAUGUCGUAUGUUGGAAAUGACUACUCCUAUCCGAGGAUGGAAGGUGAAUCUAGCACUAAUGAGAGUGAAGCUUAUGAGUGAAAUUGUGAUUUGUUACUUCAGACAGCUGUAGAAUUCUUCAGCGAUGCAGCUGAGGAACCAGUCUAGGUGCUCUAUUUUUUUUAUAACUUAGUUGAAUUUUUGGAAUCUUCUAACGUUAUAUUGAUAUGUAUAUGAUUUUGUAGUGAAUGAUAUUGAAUGAAAGGUAUUGAAAUUAUAAAGUCA